This 67-nucleotide transfer RNA is filed under the name Cricetulus griseus (Chinese hamster). It matches the Rfam family "tRNA". Rfam says of the family: Transfer RNA (tRNA) molecules are approximately 80 nucleotides in length. Their secondary structure includes four short double-helical elements and three loops (D, anti-codon, and T loops). Further hydrogen bonds mediate the characteristic L-shaped molecular structure. tRNAs have two regions of fundamental functional importance: the anti-codon, which is responsible for specific mRNA codon recognition, and the 3' end, to which the tRNAs corresponding amino acid is attached (by aminoacyl-tRNA synthetases). tRNAs cope with the degeneracy of the genetic code in two manners: having more than one tRNA (with a specific anti-codon) for a particular amino acid; and 'wobble' base-pairing, i.e. permitting non-standard base-pairing at the 3rd anti-codon position. Lineage: Eukaryota; Metazoa; Chordata; Mammalia; Rodentia; Cricetidae. The record is from Rfam by way of RNAcentral.
AGGUGGCUCAGUGGUUAAGAGUACUGACUGAUCUUUCAGAGGACCUAGGUUCAAUUCCUAGCACCUG